GUGCUUGCUUCGGCAGCACAUCUACUAAAACUGCAAUGAUACAGAGAAGAUUAACAUGGUCCCUGUACAAGGAUGACAUGCAAAUUCAUGAAGUGUUUCAUAUUAAA
Molecule: small nuclear RNA, 107 nt
Organism: Homo sapiens (human)
Lineage: Eukaryota; Metazoa; Chordata; Mammalia; Primates; Hominidae
Source: Ensembl